AACGAACGCUGGCGGCAUGCCUAACACAUGCAAGUCGAACGAGACCUUCGGGUUUAGUGUCGCGCGGGUUCGUAACGCGUGGGAACCUGCAUUUAGGUGCGGAAUAACUUCCCGAAAGGGGUGGUAAUACCGGGUAAUGUCUUGCGUCCAAAGGUUUAUCGCCAUUGGAUGGGCCCACGUUGUAUUAGCUUGUUGGUAGGGUAAAACCCUACCAAGGCGUGGAUCGAUAGAUGGUUUGUGAGGAUGGUCAGCCACACUGGGACUGAGAAACGGCCCAGAAUCCUGCGGGAGGGAGGAGAGGGGAAUAUUGGAAAAUGGGCGACAGCAUGAUGGAGCAAUGCCGGGUGAGUGAUGAAGGCCGUAGGGUAGUAAAGCUCUUUUACCCGGGAUGAUAAUGACAGUACCGGGAGAAUAAGCACCGGCUAACUACGUG
RNAcentral lists this ribosomal RNA (433 nucleotides) under uncultured bacterium. Its description in RNAcentral is "partial 16S ribosomal RNA". It matches the Rfam family "Bacterial small subunit ribosomal RNA", at positions 29 to 507 of the family's 1533-position model. The record is from RNAcentral.